AAUAUAGAAUAAAUGAUCAUUAACCAUAGUCCCUCUACGGUGCUGCAGAACACCAGAACUCAUUCUUUCUAUCUAGCUGUAGUUUUGUAUCUGUUAACCAACUUCUCCCCAUCCUCUCCUCCUGCUUACCCUUCCCAGCCUCUAAUACAGUUCUACUAUUUCCCUGAUGUUUUCAUCUCUUUCAAAAUUAGACAGAAACAAGCAUUUAGGUGAAAGAAAAUGUUAUGAUGUAAAAUAUUAACAUAUUCAUUUUAAUUUUUAAUUUUUUUAGGAUGGGUGCGCUGUCUCAUGCCUACAAUCCCAGCACUUUUGGAGGCUGAGGUGGGAGGAUCACUUGAGCCCAGGAGUUGGAGGCUGCAGUGAGCUGCACUCCUGCCUGGGUGACAGAGCGACAUUCUGUCUCAGGUCUUGAACUCCUGGGCUCAGGUGAUCCUCCCCACUCAGCCACCCAAGUAGCUGGGAUUACAGGCAUGAGCCACAGCAGCUGGCUCCAUUUUUAAAAUUGAGGGGAAAUUCACAUAACACAAAAGCAACCACUUGAAAACGUACAGUUCAAUAGCAUCUAGUAUUUUCAUUAUGUUGUGCAAUAAUUGUCACCUCUAUCUCGUUCUGAAAUAACAUAUUUUUCUUUAUAUGAAUGCAGUUGUAAAAUAGAAUUUUAAUGUAGACUUUUUUUUAAUGAAGGAAGGGGUGCACAGAGAAAAGUUCCUCAGGCCCGUGAAAAUCACAAUUUCUGAACCUCCUUGUACAUGUGAGGUGUUUAGUUGGUAGACGGAUGGGCAAAUUUUAAUUUUUAUAUGCAUUUUAUUUAAUGUUGAUGAAAAAUAUAAUUCACAUUUCAAGUAGGGGUCUAAAGUUUCCAUUUUAGAUACAUUUUUAAUUUUAAUUUUUAAAGUAUUUAUUUAUUUUUAUUUUGAGACAGAGUCUCACUCUGUCGUCCAGGCUGGAGUGCUGUGGUGCGAUCUCGGUUCACUGCAACCUCCACCUCCUGGGUUCAAGUGAUUCUCUUGCCUCAGCCUCCCGAGUAGCUGGGACUACAGGCACUUGCCACCAUGCCUGGGUCAUUUUUGUAUUUUUAGUAGAGGCGGUGUUUCACUGUGUUGGCCAGGCUGGUCUCGAACUCCUGAGCUCAAGUGAUCUGCCCGCUUCGGCCUCCCAAAGUGCUGGGAUUAUAGGCGUGAGCCACCGCGCCUGGUUCGGUACUGUUUUUUAGGUAAGUGAAUAAGGACGUAUGGAUAUGGCCAAAUAUAAAGAGGAGAUGCAAAAGUCUGCAGUUUGGGAAACAUCAGUACAGUGCCUGCCACCCCAGAGGGGCUCAUGAACAUCACGCUGUGGCCAAGAAUCAUUAUCAUUUCAUUCCCAAGGGACUCCCCCGCUUUCCUGACUCCCCGCUCUCCCUGUUGCUCACCUGGGCAUUCAGGCAGAACAGCUGCAUUUACUGGGCACCUGCUGUUUGCCAGGCACCUGCUGAUUUUGUUCUUGUGAAAAGCCUCCAGGCUGGACACAAAACCGUCUUAAUUUGGGGGACUAGCCUCCGGGUGCUUUGUCUAGGGCUCCGUAUGCAGCUGGCACUUCACAAAGGCUUGUUAAUUUCCCUUGAGCCACUGGGGCAGCCCCCAGAGGCUUGUGAUGAUCUCAGUGAAAUAAGAGUGGGCUGGAGUCAGGGUGUGUCAAAAAGGUCCAUUAUUUUUGUGGUUUCCUCCUCUUCCCAGCCAUUCCCAGGAAUGAUUCUGGAGACUUGACCUUUUCCUGCCAAGACCUGACCUUAGAACCGGGCACAUCGCAACAGACUGAUCUUCCCCCUCCCCUGCCAUUUUUUUUAGCUUUAUUUUUAUUUACUUGUUGUUCUUAGAGACAGGGCUGUGCUCUGGCACUCAGGCUUGGAAUGCAGUGGUGCAAUCACAGCUCACUGCAGCCUCAAACUUCUGGGCUCAAGCGAUCCUCCUGCCUUGGCCUUAGAAAGUGUUGGGAUUACAGGUGUGGGCCACUGCGCCUGGCCUUUGUGCUUUUUUGGAGGGGUGGAGGUCUCACUAUCUUGCUCAGGCUGGGAAGAUCAUAGAUCACUGUAACCUUGAACUCUUGGGCUCAAGUGAUCCUCCUGCCUCAGCCGGCCCAAAUAGCUAGGGCUACCACCCCCAGCUGUUUUUAAAUUUUUAGAAACAGGUUCUCACUAUGUUGCCCAGGCCAGUCUUGAACUCCUGGGCGCAAGUGAUUCUCCUGCCUCCGCCUUCCAAAGUGCUGGAAUUACAGGCGUGAGCCAAAACACCCAGCCACCCCCGCCUUCUGAGAGUCCUCAGGAAGCACUCAUUACCCUUCGCAGCCUUCGCCAUCUGCCCACGCCUGCCUUCUGUCCUGGCCCUCACCAGCCCCAGGCUUCUCUGUUUCCCGCAGAUAGACCAUGAGCAGCCAUGGCAACAGCCUGUUCCUGCGGGAGAGCGGCCAGCGGCUGGGCCGGGUGGGCUGGCUGCAGCGGCUGCAGGAAAGCCUGCAGCAGAGAGCACUGCGCACGCGCCUGCGCCUGCAGACCAUGACCCGCGAGCACGUGCUGCGCUUCCUGUGCCGAAACGCCUUCAUUCUGCUGACGGUCAGCGCCGUGGUCAUUGGGGUCAGCCUGGCCUUUGCCCUGCGCCCGUAUCAGCUCACCUACCGCCAGAUCAAGUACUUCUCUUUUCCUGGAGAGCUUCUGAUGAGGAUGCUGCAGAUGCUGGUGUUACCUCUCAUUGUCUCCAGCCUGGUCACAGGUAUGGCAUCCCUGGACAACAAGGCCACGGGGCGGAUGGGGAUGCGGGCAGCUGUGUACUACAUGGUGACCACCAUCAUCGCGGUCUUCAUUGGCAUCCUCAUGGUCACCAUCAUCCAUCCCGGGAAGGGCUCCAAGGAGGGGCUGCACCGGGAGGGCCGGAUCGAGACCAUCCCCACAGCUGAUGCCUUCAUGGAUCUGAUCAGAAAUAUGUUUCCACCAAACCUCGUGGAGGCCUGCUUCAAACAGGUCAGGGGGAAGUACACAGUUUGAUCAAGGAAAUUCGGAGGGUGGUGGGAGCUUGGGGCUGAAGGGAUGGUCCAAGGGCAAGAGAUGGGAGGAAGGGCCUGACAGAGCAACGGGCAGGGGUUCUUGAGGAGUCUAGGAGAAAGGAUGUAUUUUCCAUAGUGAUCUGGGAGGGUUAGGGAGAAGCACUUAGGUCCGAGAAUGGUGGCUCAGGCUUGUAAUCCCAGCACUUAGGGAGGCCAAGGCGGGAGGAUCACUUGAGGCCAAAAGUUCAAGACCAGCCUGGGCAACAGAAUGAGACUCUCUGUCUUUC
This 3299-nucleotide small RNA is filed under the name Pongo abelii (Sumatran orangutan). RNAcentral's name for it is "retained intron". Lineage: Eukaryota; Metazoa; Chordata; Mammalia; Primates; Hominidae. The record is from RNAcentral.